CAAUGGCGGCCGGGCGAGGCGGGACUUCCGUCAGGGUAGAGCGAAGGGGGCGGGCGCGCGGGGGGCUCUGGGGGCUCCGAGGCGGGGGGGAGUGUGAGCCGCUCGGCUCUCAGAGAGGCUUCGCCUCCGGGCUGUGAGAGCGGGACGACCUUCGGGUCGUCUGCUCGCCCGCCCCGCGCCUCCCGCUGCCAGUGAGGUCACAAGGCUCGAAUCAGGGCUGAGCCGGGAACGAAAUCCAUCCCGCUCCUGGCUCCUGGCUGGAGUCCUGGGCUCCCACCCGCCUUCCUCGCAGCCGCUGGUUGCCACGCCUCUUCUAUAGCUUCUCCAUCUCCCCCACCCCACUCCCCCUCAGAUCUUGUUUCUUCAGGAAGAUGAUGAGAAUUUCUGCCUCACGAGAUUGUUACGAGGGUGAAAUCUACGUGAUGGCGCGUUGGAAGCGGUACUCCGCUAGGGAAAGGACCAGGGGGCCCUUGUAGGGCGGAGUGCUGCUGGGCGGCUGUGAAGGUCACGCCCCCUCCCUCUCCGCCCUCACGGCUCCGAAGUGAGAGAGGGCCUUAAGUUCUGUUCUGUGCAGCCGUCCUCGAAGCGAGGCUCCGCCUGUGUGAGUUCAGUGAAUUCCAGCUUCAAAAGGCGAGAUCUCAGUGGGGGAUAGCUCUGAAGCUGGGUCACCAUUUUCAGCUGGAAGGACCUAAAAUGUGCUUUUAAGAUGUGGCCAUAUCGCGUUAUUUUUGUCCAAACAGUUAAAUUCAACAAGUAUUUUCUAUUAUUUACUUUCUCUCUGCGUUGGACAGAAGGGUGAGGGAGUUUUUUCGCUGAAGGCUUUUUCCUGUUCUUGAGCCUUGGGACUAUUCUUAAUGAAUGGCUGUAUCUGGUGAGGCUGAUAAAAUGACCCAUUUUAUAUCAAGAGAUAAUCGGAGAAGGCAAUGGCACCCCACUCCAGUACUCUUGCCUGGAAAAUCCCAUGGACAGAGGAGCCUGGUGGGCUGCAGUCCAUGGGGUUGUGAAGAGUUGGACACGACUGAGCGACUUCACUUUCACUUUUCACUUUCAUGCAUUGGAAAAGGAAAUGGCAACCCACUCCAGUGUUCUUGCCUGGAGAAUCCCAGGGACAGGGGAGCCUGGUGGGCUGCCAUCUAUGGGGUCACACAGAGUCGGACACAACUGCAGCGACUUAGCAGCAGCAGCAGCAUAGAGAUGAUCAUGUGUUUUUUUCCCUUUAUUUUCUUAAUGUGGUGUAUUACAUUGAUUGAUUUCUGUAUGCUGAACCACCUUGCAUUCCAGGAAUAAAUCUCCCUUGGUGUUUAAUCCUUGUAAUAUACUGCUGAAUUUCGUUUGCCAGUAUUUAGUUUAGGAUUUUUUCAUCAGUGUUCAUAAGUGAUAUUUAUUGUAGUAACCUUAUCUGUUUUGGGGAUCAAGUUAAUGCUGGACUCAUAGAAUGAGUCUAGAGGUGUUCCUUCCCUUCAGUUUUUUGGGGAACGUUUGAGAAGGGUUAAUAUUAGUUGUUCUUUAAAUGUUUAGUAGAGUUCACCAUUGAAGCCAUCAAAAUGUCUAGGCUUUUCUUUCUUUUUUUUUUUUAGGCUUUUCUU
Dama dama (fallow deer) is the source of this 1586-nucleotide long non-coding RNA. RefSeq lists it as uncharacterized. NCBI's taxonomy places the organism in Eukaryota, Metazoa, Chordata, Mammalia, Artiodactyla, Cervidae. The transcript has 3 exons. The record is from RefSeq and is a predicted model, not a curated record.